Molecule: ribosomal RNA, 253 nt
Filed under: uncultured bacterium
Lineage: Bacteria
Description: partial 16S ribosomal RNA
Rfam family: Bacterial small subunit ribosomal RNA
Source: RNAcentral
GACGAAGGAUCCAAGCGUUAUCCGGAUUUAUUGGGUUUAAAGGGUGCGUAGGCGGAUUGAUAAGUCAGUGGUGAAAGCCUGCAGCUUAACUGCAGAACUGCCAUUGAUACUGUCAAUCUUGAAUGUGGUUGAUGUGGGCGGAAUAUGACAUGUAGCGGUGAAAUGCUUAGAUAUGUCAUAGAACACCGAUUGCGAAGGCAGCUCACAAAGCCAUUAUUGACGCUGAGGCACGAAAGCGUGGGGAUCAAACAGG